UAGAAGCGUGAGAGUAGUGCUUUCGGACGCGGGUUCAAUUCCCGCCGCCUCCACCA
Molecule: transfer-messenger RNA, 56 nt
Filed under: Thermodesulfovibrionales bacterium
Lineage: Bacteria; Pseudomonadati; Nitrospirota; Thermodesulfovibrionia; Thermodesulfovibrionales
Description: partial transfer-messenger RNA
Rfam family: transfer-messenger RNA
About the family: Bacterial tmRNA, also known as 10Sa RNA or SsrA, is named for its dual tRNA and mRNA-like properties. Its role is to liberate the mRNA from a stalled ribosome. To accomplish this part of the tmRNA is used as a reading frame that ends in a translation stop signal.
Source: RNAcentral